Long non-coding RNA from Notothenia coriiceps (black rockcod), 1025 nucleotides. RefSeq lists it as uncharacterized. NCBI's taxonomy places the organism in Eukaryota, Metazoa, Chordata, Actinopteri, Perciformes, Nototheniidae. The transcript is spliced from 6 exons. The record is from RefSeq and is a predicted model, not a curated record.
UGCUUCUUUAAAACAAGCUUUAUUUCAGACGUGGACACAUCUUACAUCUGUCUCUGGGACGAGGCACAGGGUGGAAGAGUUUCAUGCUGAAGAUGUCGCUGUCGAAGCGAGACAUUUAAAGACACUUCACAACUUUUCUGACAUUUAACAAACAGACACAUACUAGAAGAUCUCAACAAAUCUGCAUUAUGAAAAUGAUCUCAAACUACAGCCAGUAAACCAGAGAAGUAUCAUUGUUAUAAAAUCUGUCUUGCAGUAAGUCCACAUCCGGCUGCAGGACGUGUCCCGGUGCUUCAGACAGACUCAGGAUCAGUCUGUGGUUCAGGAGACGUCCAGGUUCAGUCUGUGGUUCAGGAGACGUCCAGGUUCAGUCUGUGGUUCAGGAGACGUCCAGGUUCAGUCUGUGGUUCAGGAGACGUCCAGGUUCAGUCUGUGGUUCAGGAGACGUCCAGGUUCAGUCUGUGGUUCAGGAGACGUCCAGGUUCAGUCUGUGGUUCAGGAGACGUCCAGGUUCAGUCUGUGGUUCAGGAGACGUCCAGGUUCAGUCUGUGGUUCAGAAGACGUCCAGGUUCAGUCUGUGGUUGAGGAGACGUCCAGGUUCAGUCUGUGGUUCAGAAGACGUCCAGGUUCAGUCUGUGGUUCAGGAGACGUCCAGGUUCAGUCUGUGGUUCAGAAGACGUCCAGGUUCAGUCUGUGGUUCAGGAGACGUCCAGGUUCAGUCUGUGGUUCAGAAGACGUCCAGGUUCAGUCUGUGGUUCAGAAGAGGUCCAGGUUCAGUCUGUGGUUCAGGAGACGUCCAGGUUCAGUCUGUGGUUCAGGAGACGUCCAGGUUCAGUCUGUGGUUCAGGAGACGUCCAGGUUCAGUCUGUGGUUCAGGAGACGUCCAGGUUCAGUCUGUGGUUCAGAAGACGUCCAGGUACAGUCUCUGGUUCAGGAGACGUCCAGGUUCAGUCUGUGGUUCAGGAGACGUCCAGGUUCAGUCUGUGGUUCAGUCUGUGGUUCAGUCUGUGGUUCAGUCUUUGGUU